Molecule: non-coding RNA, 24 nt
Filed under: Mus musculus (house mouse)
Lineage: Eukaryota; Metazoa; Chordata; Mammalia; Rodentia; Muridae
Source: RNAcentral
UGCACAGAGGAGGAGUCUGGAUCC